AGCCCAGACAAGUUCAGUUCUGAAACAAACCCUGCCCCAAAAAAAGUGGCUGGAGAGGAGGCCUGGACGCUGAGACUGAAGAGUUACUCACCCUCCAAACAAACACAGCUACUGGAGAUUGGGGGAUCCCAAACAAUAAUAAUCUCACAAAGCCCCCAGAAGCAUGGGACACACCCCUUUGAUCCUACUGGUGGAAAGAUGGGAGUGGUGAAACUAGGGCAUGAGUUACUGAGGCUAUCGUGAGACACCCCAGAACUGUUUAAGAAAAGGUGGAGACAGAAAGACUGAAUUGAUUUAAACAGAAAGGGCCAAAUUAUACCACUCGAGGACUGUGUUAAGAUGAUGACUGGGAAACAAGAGGAGCAGAGGAUUGGAAAUCAAGGAACCAAACUGAAGUGUUGGAAAAUAGGCCUAACUACUGGACAGAAUAAAGUGAGGAUGGAUUAUUCCACCCAUUGCCUGUUUGGGCCCUUUAAGAGACUCUGGGGGAGAACACAACAAGAACUUUUACCAUCAGCAUGGCUGUGGUGAAAGGGUUGUUGCCGUGACACCAGACCUUGGAGUAAUGAAGCUCAAGUAUCCCCGCCCGUCAGUGAUGACCCCCAUGUGAUACAUGUGAGAUCCUCAUGUGCUCCUUUCUGCUCCCCAUUUUCCUACUGUCCUCUCUCUCUUUCUCUCAAGUUUUCACCUGAUCCUGAAAUCAGCUGUAAUGCAUCACACCAGCAUAGUGAGACAAGAUGGCCCAUCCAGCUCUACCCAGCCUGAGAAGGAUCAGUGAAUGAGAGGGACUUGACCAGACCAACAAGAUGAUGUCCCUGACCAGGGAGGUGAGCCGAAGUCCAAAUUAAGAGCUGUUGUGCCAACUGCCAGCCCAAAGCAUCCCUCCAUGACUGACCAACUGCCUUGUAUCCUGAGAACAUCACAAAAGCAAUAUUUUCCCCAUCUUCACUAUUCUAUCGCUUCUCUCCCUUCUGUGUCUGUCUUUUUUGUCGAAGGCACAAAAAAGUGACUAUUAUUUUCAAUUCAGAAUUGAACAACAGAAUUAGUCCUUUCUCCCACACCAAGAAUGACUCUUUGACAGAAUAAGAGACUUCAACAAAUAUCCACUAUAAAGGACUUUGAUAGGUUUUAAGUUUGUUUCGCACAAUCAAUUUCCGUAUCAGUGCUCUUUACCUUGUUUUGAUUCUUUUCCUUUUGUGUGUUUCAAUCAAUAAAUUCCUAGUGCUUGGUCUGAAUUUUAUAGUGUGGUUGCCACUGUAUUAAGCAGGCUGAGG
This is a long non-coding RNA of Mauremys reevesii (Reeves's turtle), 1274 nucleotides long. RefSeq lists it as uncharacterized. The record is from RefSeq and is a predicted model, not a curated record. NCBI's taxonomy places the organism in Eukaryota, Metazoa, Chordata, Testudines, Geoemydidae. The transcript has 3 exons.